Long non-coding RNA from Sapajus apella (tufted capuchin), 128 nucleotides. RefSeq lists it as uncharacterized. Lineage: Eukaryota; Metazoa; Chordata; Mammalia; Primates; Cebidae. The transcript has 3 exons. The record is from RefSeq and is a predicted model, not a curated record.
CCUGGAGGGAAAGAGAGGAGAAGUUAUUAGAUUCAAGAUGUGUUUUGAAAGAACGUCAUGCUUGUGCACAAAGGUGGUUUUCUAGAGAGAGACUGCUCUAUUUUACUAAAUCCCAGAUUAAAAACAAC